Molecule: ribosomal RNA, 797 nt
Filed under: uncultured bacterium
Lineage: Bacteria
Description: bacterial SSU rRNA
Rfam family: Bacterial small subunit ribosomal RNA
Source: RNAcentral
UUGAUGGCGACCGGCGCACGGGUGAGUAACACGUAUCCAACCCUGCCGAUGACUCGGGGAUAGCCUUUCGAAAGAAAGAUUAAUACCCGAUGGCAUAGUUCUUCCGCAUGGUAGAACUAUUAAAGAAUUUCGGUCAUCGAUGGGGAUGCGUUCCAUUAGGUUGUUGGCGGGGUAACGGCCCACCAAGCCUUCGAUGGAUAGGGGUUCUGAGAGGAAGGUCCCCCACAUUGGAACUGAGACACGGUCCAAACUCCUACGGGAGGCAGCAGUGAGGAAUAUUGGUCAAUGGACGAGAGUCUGAACCAGCCAAGUAGCGUGAAGGAUGACUGCCCUAUGGGUUGUAAACUUCUUUUAUACGGGAAUAAAGUGAGGCACGCGUGCCUUUUUGUAUGUACCGUAUGAAUAAGGAUCGGCUAACUCCGUGCCAGCAGCCGCGGUAAUACGGAGGAUCCGAGCGUUAUCCGGAUUUAUUGGGUUUAAAGGGAGCGUAGGCGGACGCUUAAGUCAGUUGUGAAAGUUUGCGGCUCAACCGUAAAAUUGCAGUUGAUACUGGGUGUCUUGAGUACAGUAGAGGCAGGCGGAAUUCGUGGUGUAGCGGUGAAAUGCUUAGAUAUCACGAAGAACUCCGAUUGCGAAGGCAGCCUGCUGGACUGUAACUGACGCUGAUGCUCGAAAGUGUGGGUAUCAAACAGGAUUAGAUACCCUGGUAGUCCACACAGUAAACGAUGAAUACUCGCUGUUUGCGAUAUACAGUAAGCGGCCAAGCGAAAGCGUUAAGUAUUCCACCUGGGGAGUAC